GUGAGGAAUAUUGCGCAAUGGGGGAAACCCUGACGCAGCAACGCCGCGUGGGUGAAGAAGGCCUUCGGGUCGUAAAGCCCUUUCGGACGGGACGAACGCUCCGCGGUGACAACCCGCGGAGUCUGACGGUACCGUAAGAAGAAGCACCGGCUAACUCCGUGCCAGCAGCCGCGGUAAUACGGAGGGUGCAAGCGUUGUUCGGAAUUACUGGGCGUAAAGCGCGUGUAGGCGGCCUUGCAAGCCAGACGUGAAAGCCCUCGGCUUAACCGGGGAAGUGCGUCUGGAACUGCUCGGCUCGAGUACGGGAGAGGGAGGCGGAAUUCCCAGUGUAGAGGUGAAAUUCGUAGAUAUUGGGAGGAACACCGGUGGCGAAAGCGGCCUCCUGGACCGAUACUGACGCUGAGACGCGAAAGCGUGGGGAGCAAACAGGAUUAGAUACCCGAGUAGUCC
This 450-nucleotide ribosomal RNA is filed under the name uncultured bacterium. Its description in RNAcentral is "bacterial SSU rRNA". It matches the Rfam family "Bacterial small subunit ribosomal RNA", at positions 354 to 796 of the family's 1533-position model. The record is from RNAcentral.